ACUCCUACGGGAGGCAGCAGUGGGGAAUAUUGCACAAUGGGCGCAAGCCUGAUGCAGCCAUGCCGCGUGUAUGAAGAAGGCCUUCGGGUUGUAAAGUACUUUCAGCAGUGAGGAAGGUGGGUAUGUUAAUAGCAUAUUCAUUUGACGUUAGCUGCAGAAGAAGCACCGGCUAACUCCGUGCCAGCAGCCGCGGUAAUACGGAGGGGUGCGAGCGUUAAUCGGAAUUACUGGGCGUAAAGCGCAUGCAGGUGGUUUGUUAAGUCAGAUGUGAAAGCCGGGGCUCAACCUCGGAAUUGCAUUUGAAACUGGCAAACUAGAGUACUGUAGAGGGGGUAGAAUUUCAGGUGUAGCGGUGAAAUG
This 360-nucleotide ribosomal RNA is filed under the name uncultured bacterium. Its description in RNAcentral is "bacterial SSU rRNA". It matches the Rfam family "Bacterial small subunit ribosomal RNA", at positions 335 to 688 of the family's 1533-position model. The record is from RNAcentral.